RNAcentral lists this unclassified non-coding RNA (4402 nucleotides) under Limulus polyphemus (Atlantic horseshoe crab). RNAcentral's name for it is "golgin subfamily B member 1-like, transcript variant X1". Lineage: Eukaryota; Metazoa; Arthropoda; Merostomata; Xiphosura; Limulidae. The record is from RNAcentral.
CCUCAGUCUACAAGUAUGGAAGAUGUAGUCCAUUAUCCAUAUAAAGAGUGCAUCAUUCAUAGUAGCUCGCGACCUGCUCAUGGGGAAAGACAAAGUCUGAAGGUUCAAUUUAGUGAUCAUGUAGUUAUACAUACAAACCCAAACCAUUUCUCAGAAGAAGAUAAAGUUAGUAUGACAAACACUAGUACUCCUUUGACUACUAAUUCCACAGUUAAAAAUGAUGGGAGAGACCUGCAAAAAAGUACACACAAAUCAGUGAUUGACAGAGAAGCCAACAGUAAUUUACCUGAAUUAGAGAACGUUAAUUAUCGAGAUCAAAAUAAAGAACAUUACUACACAGAAGACAUCGUUAAAGUUUUAGAUAAAAACACUUCAUCAACUAAUACUCCCAGCAUCCCAGUUAGAGAAUACAAGUCAUUGGUUAAGUUUGAAUUGGAUAAGUUAUUGCAGUUGUGUGACCCUGUAAACAGAUCAUAUUCGGAAGAUUCUGUGAAUUCGACACAGAAAUAUAUUUUGGAAAGAAAAGAAAUUCGACAUGACAAAUCUCCAAAUCACGAGUGUGACAUUAAUAAAAGAUCUGCAGAAGAAGAGUGUGGAAAAGAUUUGGACAUGUCUAGAAAACUGAAUCGUACUUUAGAAAACUUCAAAAAUAAUAUGCACAAUGGCAACAUUCCACAACCUUUUUCUGAUUCAUAUCUUACUUCACUGAUGGUUACUUCCAGUAAUAACAAAUACAGCCUAAAUAGGAUGAGUUAUUUAAAUGCAAAUUGUAGUUUUUCAAAUGUGAAAGAAACUUUUUUUAACCAACAGUUAGACUCUUCUGGACGAAAUGGAAAAGAAGCCAGAAAAGUGCAACUAUGUCAAUCUGAGAAAGAGACUACUGGAGGCAACCAGCCAGUUGUUUUCUCUGAUAAUGUGUGUACUGGACAUAGAACAGAAAACCCCGAAGGAAAGACUUCUAAUCUCAUCAAAUACCCCCUUCUGUUAGAUGAAGUGAUAUCCAAACAAUCUAUAUUGAAACAUUAUCCUAAACCUUUUUCGUCAGAGAUGUGUGAUAUGAAUAGCUUGAAACAAAAAUUGGAAAAUGAAACUGCUGAAAUGCCCCUCCUGCCAAUUGAAAAUGACCAAUAUAGCCCAACUGAUAAUGCCACAGUGGCUCGUAAUGAAGAAAAUGACACUUCUUCAGCUUUUUCAAAAGCAUCUGUUUCUUGUGAACGUAAGCCAGUUGCAUCAAAAUAUAAAUCACUGUUGUCUAAUUUUGAAGUUCCAAAACAUUCCCAACUUUCAGUUGAAAAUUCAUCAUAUGAGCCCAAAUCAUUAUCAAUAGAUGAAGCUAGACUCAGUUUACUGACAGAACAAAUGAAUGAUAAAAGUAAAUCCAAACCCAAUUCAUCACCUUCGCUGGAGCACAGUGACAUUGGUGAUGUCACAAAAGAAAGAAGUCGAGGAGUAAAACGACAUGUUAAUAAAUUAGACGUCCGAGAUUCAUCUGGAUUCUUUACUUCUUUCAGUACCAGUGAUUUUCACUCAGCCAUGGAAUCUUUUGGCAGAAGUUUUAGUUCACCGUGUACAUCUGGUUCUCCUUCCACAUACACUGAACCAAGGAGUGUAGAAGAUUACGAGCACCUAGUUUCUGUUUUGAAGGUUGAAAUACAUAGACUUGAAAUUCAAUUAGAACAUGCAAUAAAAUCUCUUCUACGAAUAAGGCAAGAGUCUCAAGCAAUUGUGGAAAAAAUACAAGAUGAAAAAUACUACUUUGAAUUGACACUUUGUAAAGAGGCAGAAGAUUUUAAGAAUCAUUUAAGAUUGUACGUAGAAAAACUGGAAGAAGAAUUAUUUAGAAAAGAAAGAGAGUUUACAAUUCAAAAGAAAAAGUUAGAGAAGGAAAAACUUCUCCUUCAGGAUGAAAUCAAAUCACUGAGAAAGGAACUUUCCAAGGUUUUGGAACAACAAGCUCACUUUAAAACAAAAGAAAAGAAAACAAGAAACAAUGAACCAAUGAGAGAAUUGUAUGAGAAGCUAGAUAACGAACAUGCAACUGAAACUGAAUUGGAAAAGAAACUAAAAGCUCAACAGCUGCAGCUAGAAGAAGUGAAGAGAAACACUGAAUAUGUAACUAAGGAAUUCCAAAUAAAACUUGAGAAGAUGUUUGAAGAAAAUGCAAGGAAAGAUAUGAUGUUGAGAGCAAUGGAAAAUAAGCUCAGUGUUUUGAAUGCAGAGAACCAGCAGCAUUUACGGAAGCAGAACACAGUAGUUGGCCAAGACAGACUUGAAACAAGUAUAGACAAUCAUAAUGGAAACUUUUGUGCUCUUGAUGGAACCUCGAAACAACACCAACUCAAAUGCUUAAAAACAGAGAUGGAAUACAUUCAGGAAGAACUAAACCAGAGAACUCGCAGGUGUGAAGAGUUACGUCGUACCGGACAGUAUUGGAAAGAAGAAGUUGCUAGUUUACGUCAAGAGCUCGCCAAACUAAACAAGGAAAACUACAGUUUGUACACCUUUGCUGAAAGACUAAGAAAUUUUGUGGAAAGUCAAAUAUAUAAUGGUGGUAAAUUUGUGGAGGAAUUGGGGAAGGUACAAUCCAAGGAUGACCUGAAUGCUGAAAUCGGAGAAGAAACAAUGGCAGAAGUUUUUAAAGCAAGAAACUCUCUUCAAACACAGCUAUGUGAAAUGGAAGGAAAGCUUAACAAGUUGACUGAGCAGCUAAAAGACUUUGCAACUGAAAAGCAUAUUCUGGAAGCUGAGAUAGAGAAACAGAAAACAGCUCAGGAAGUUGCUAACCAAGAAUUAAAGACAUUUAAAGAAAAGAAAAAACAGGAAGAAAAAGUGCUUACUCAAGAGAUAGAAACUGCCAAGAUGGAAAUGAAACAAGUAAAUGAAGAGCUUAAACAGUGUAAGACAGACUUGGAAAACAAGGAUGUUUUAGUUAAAGAUCUCCUACAUAAAAGUGAAGGAUUUGAAAAUCAAAGUUACAGUCUUCAUGCAUGGAUGGGAGCGGAGAUAAACAAUAUCCUCAGGUUGGAAGAAAAAAUAGCUACUUUAUCGAAGGAAAAUAAGGAAAUUUGUGCUCAAAACAAAAAACUGACUUCAGAAUUAGAUGUUUCAAAUAAUGACUUAGAACAAGAAAGAUCUCAAAAUUCAAAGAAAUUCUCUGAAAGUAAGAAGAUACACCAAGAUGAAAUAAGAAGAUUAAAAGAAUAUAUUGAAAAAAUUGAGUGUGACUUGUUAAAGGCUGUGACUGACCGUACAUCCCUACAAAAAACAGUGAAGCAUACUCAGGAAAGCUUUGAAGAGUUUCAGAGUAACAUUUGCCACCUGGAGUUUAAGCUUGGGUCUGUACAAAAGCAAUUAAUAGAAAAGACGGCAGCGUAUAAUGCAUCUAAAUCGUGGUGUGAUGACUUGCAGAUGAAGGUGAAGAACUUGCAAGAGGAUAAGAGCAACCUCGACACCUCUGUAAAGAAACUAAAACUUAAAGUUGCUGAAUUGGAAGACUGUUGGAAGUCUGCAGAACAAGAAUUAUCAGAUAUCAAAAGAGAAAAAGAAGACUUUGAGAUCUCAUCUGUCACCCAGGACAAGCAGAUAUUAACAUUUCAGCAUCAAGUUCAUGAUCUUAAAGAACAGUUGUCACUGAAAAAAACAGAAUAUAAAAAUAAAAAGGACAAACUAAUCGCGAUAUGGCGAGAACGGGAGACUGAACUAAUUGACAAGAUUGAAGAACUGAAUGCUAGGAUUGAAUGUGGUAACACUCAGUCUCACCAGCUUGCUGCAGAAGUUAAAGACUUGAGAUCGAGAUGGACGAAAGUAACUCAGGAAAACGCUACUCUCCACAGUGUCCUGAAGGAGUUUGAACAUAAGCUGUCUAUUGCUCAGUUAGAACUGAAAGAAACAAAAGAAAAGCUAAAAACGGAAAAUCAGCUUGUCAGUGUUCUCAACUUCAAAAAUAACCAGCUGGAAGAAGAAAUUGAGAGAAUGAGAGAGGUUCAAAAUAGUAGUGGGUAUACAUCGAAGAAUGAUUCAAGUGAAGACUCAUCUCCACUUAAAGACUGGAGCACCAGAGUAGAAGGCUUGAUUGUGUCUCAACUCAAAACAUAUUUUAACAAUAAUUCAAAAGUAAAACUUAAAAUCAGAGCAGGUUACAGACUUUGCUCAUAGAACAGCAGAGAUGUUACGAAUGGACCUACUCAAGUCUGAGAAUUCAAGACUGAAAGCCUCUCUGUUCAACUCAAAGAAGAAAGAUGGUGAAAUAAGUAGAAAAGAAGCAUGGGUCCGACAACCGGUAUCCACAAGUGAUGUUGAAGAGGAGAUCAACAAAUCCCUCCUUCGUGCCCAUUUACACUUAUACAAAUCUAACCAAGGGUCAGGUAACGUCCCGGCUUUGACAGCUUUUGAUAUAUUACGU